AGCAGCCGCGGUAAUUCCAGCUCCAAUAGCGUAUAUUAAAGUUGCUGCAGUUAAAAAGCUCGUAGUUGAAUUUCGGGAUCAAUAUGUUGGUCGUGCCUCGGUACGUACUAGCUUAUUGGUUUCUCCCUUCUGACGAACCAUGAUGUCAUUUAUUUGGUGUUAUGGGAAAUCAGGACUGUUACUUUGAAAAAUUAGAGUGUUUAAAGCAGGCUCACGCUUGGAUACAUUAGCAUGGAAUAAUGAAAUAGGACGUUUGAUUCUAUUUUGUUGGUUUCUAGGAUCGACGUAAUGAUUAAUAGGGAUAGUUGGGGGCAUUAGUAUUCAAUUGUCAGAGGUGAAAUUCUUGGAUUUAUUGAAGACUAACUACUGCGAAAGCAUUUGCCAAGGAUGUUUUCAUUAAUCAAGAACGAAAGUUAGGGGAUCGAAGACGAUCAGAUACCGUCGUAGUCUUAACCAUAAACUAAUGCCGACUAGGGAUCGGAUGAUGUAAUUUU
RNAcentral lists this ribosomal RNA (494 nucleotides) under uncultured Glomus. RNAcentral describes it as "SSU rRNA". It matches the Rfam family "Eukaryotic small subunit ribosomal RNA", at positions 569 to 1069 of the family's 1831-position model. The record is from RNAcentral. Lineage: Eukaryota; Fungi; Glomeromycota; Glomeromycetes; Glomerales; Glomeraceae.